Molecule: small RNA, 546 nt
Filed under: Pongo abelii (Sumatran orangutan)
Lineage: Eukaryota; Metazoa; Chordata; Mammalia; Primates; Hominidae
Description: retained intron
Source: RNAcentral
GCUCAGCCAGCCUGCCGAGCAGAACGGGGCCGUGGGGUCUGUGGUUCCCAGGCAGGGCCCCCCACAGGGGGUUCCGGUGCCCAGCCACCUCCCCCUGUACCCAGCCACAGCACUCGGGCUGCACUGACCAUGCCUGUGCUGUUCCCAGCUUUAGCCAGGGCCCCCUGAAGGAUGCACCCAACCUCAUCUGCACCCCCCAUGCUGCAUGGUACAGCGAGCAGGCGUCCAUCGAGAUGCGAGAGGAGGCGGCACGGGAGAUCCGCAGGGCCAUCACAGGCCGGAUCCCAGACAGCCUGAAGAACUGUGUCAACAAGGACCAUCUGACGGCCGCCACCCACUGGGCCAGCAUGGACCCCGCCGUCGUGCACCCUGAGCUCAACGGGGCUGCCUAUAGCAGGUACCCUCCGGGCGUGGUGGGCGUGGCCCCCACUGGCAUCCCAGCUGCUGUGGAAGGUAUCGUCCCCAGCGCCAUGUCCCUGUCCCACGGCCUGCCCCCUGUGGCCCACCCACCCCACGCCCCUUCUCCUGGCCAAACCGUCAAGCCCG